RNAcentral lists this ribosomal RNA (301 nucleotides) under uncultured bacterium. Its description in RNAcentral is "partial 16S ribosomal RNA". It matches the Rfam family "Bacterial small subunit ribosomal RNA", at positions 509 to 808 of the family's 1533-position model. The record is from RNAcentral.
CAGCAGCCGGGUAAUACGGAGGGUGCAAGCGUUAAUCGGAAUUACUGGGCGUAAAGCGCACGCAGGCGGUCUGACAAGUCAGAUGUGAAAUCCCCGGGCUUAACCUGGGAACUGCAUUUGAAACUGUCAGGCUGGAGUCUUGUAGAGGGGGGUAGAAUUCCAGGUGUAGCGGUGAAAUGCGUAGAGAUCUGGAGGAAUACCGGUGGCGAAGGCGGCCCCCUGGACAAAGACUGACGCUCAGGUGCGAAAGCGUGGGGAGCAAACAGGAUUAGAUACCCCGGUAGUCCCUGUCUCUUAUACA